GACGAACGCUGGCGGCGUGCUUAACACAUGCAAGUCGAACGGAAAGGCCUGCUUUCCCUUGUGGUUUGCGGGUACUCGAGUGGCGAACGGGUGAGUAACACGGGAGUGAUCUGCCCCCAACUUGGGUAUAAGCCUGGGAAACUGGGUCUAAUUCCCGAUAGGACUGCAGGGUGGUGCCGGUGGUGGAAAACGAUUUUCUAGUGGUUGGGGAUGAGCUCGCGGCGUAUCAGCUUGUUGGUGGGGUAAUGGCCUACCAAGGCGGCGACGGGUAGCCGGCCUGAGAGGGUGGACGGCCACAUUGGGACUGAGACACGGCCCAGACUCCUACGGGAGGCAGCAGUUGGGAAUAAUGGACCAUGGGCGGAAUCCUGAUGCAGCGACGCCGCGUGGGGGAUGACGGCCUUCGGGUUGUAAACUCCUUUCGACCGCGAGGAAGCCACCUGGUUGGAAGGGUGGUGACGGUAGUGGUAAAAGAAGCACCGGCUAACUACGUG
This 494-nucleotide ribosomal RNA is filed under the name uncultured bacterium. RNAcentral's name for it is "partial 16S ribosomal RNA". It matches the Rfam family "Bacterial small subunit ribosomal RNA", at positions 28 to 507 of the family's 1533-position model. The record is from RNAcentral.